UAGCACCAUAAGCUUCGUAAAUAUAGGAAUCAUUCCCGAAACCCCAUAUACCAUGGCCUUAAUCAUCAUUUCUGUAUAAGUCUUUAGUAGUUUAUCUCAGCAGUCAGUUCCGGCCUACGCAUCCUCUACGUAGGGGACCGAUGCAAAUAAGUGAAUGAUCCAGAAAAACAAAAAAAUAAAAGAAAGCAAAAUGGCAACUCCGGUAUAGGUGACCCUCACAAAGUCAUUUAAAC
This 233-nucleotide long non-coding RNA is filed under the name Lathyrus oleraceus (garden pea). Its description in RNAcentral is "Pisum sativum (pea) long non-coding RNA (PSAT_LNC013668)". Lineage: Eukaryota; Viridiplantae; Streptophyta; Magnoliopsida; Fabales; Fabaceae. The record is from RNAcentral.